Molecule: ribosomal RNA, 446 nt
Filed under: uncultured bacterium
Lineage: Bacteria
Description: bacterial SSU rRNA
Rfam family: Bacterial small subunit ribosomal RNA
Source: RNAcentral
ACUCCACGGAGGCAGCAGUGGGAAUCUUGCACAAUGGGCGAAAGCCUGAUGCAGCCAUGCCGCGUGAAUGAUGAAGGCCUUAGGGUUGUAAAAUUCUUUCGCCAGGGAUGAUAAUGACAGUACCUGGUAAAGAAGCCCCGCUAGCUUACUGUGCCAGCAGCCGCGGUAAUACGAAGGGCGUAGCGUUGUUCGGAAUUACUGGGCGUAAAGCGCGCGUAGGCGGGUUGUUAAGCCAGAUGUGAAAGCCCGGAGCUCAACUCCGGAAUUGCAUUUGGAACUGGCAACCUAGAGGCCCAGGAGAGGUCAGUGGAAUACCGAGUGUAGAGGUGAAAUUCGUAGAUAUUCGGUGGAACACCAGUGGCGAAGGCGACUGACUGGACUGGUACUGACGCUGAGGUGCGAAAGUGUGGGGAGCAAACAGGAUUAGAUACCCUGGUAGGCUCUGC